Long non-coding RNA from Apus apus (common swift), 171 nucleotides. RefSeq lists it as uncharacterized. NCBI's taxonomy places the organism in Eukaryota, Metazoa, Chordata, Aves, Apodiformes, Apodidae. The record is from RefSeq and is a predicted model, not a curated record. The transcript has 3 exons.
CAGCUAAUUUUGAAGAAGAAAACAGAUCAGAUGAAGGGAAUCUUCUUUGCAAACAGUAUUUUGAUGAUUUGAAGCAAUACUGUACACUGGAAUAGUAUAAUAUAGAGUAUCUUGCAAGGAUCAUCAUGUAUGAAGUACUAUACUUGUUCCUCAACUGAGAUGAAGAUCUCA